Molecule: ribosomal RNA, 253 nt
Filed under: uncultured bacterium
Lineage: Bacteria
Description: partial 16S ribosomal RNA
Rfam family: Bacterial small subunit ribosomal RNA
Source: RNAcentral
UACGUAGGGUGCAAGCGUUAUCCGGAUUCACUGGGUUUAAAGGGUGCGUAGGUGGGCUGGUAAGUCAGCGGUGAAAUCUCCAGGCUUAACUUGGAAACUGCCAUUGAUACUAUCAGUCUUGAAUACCGUGGAGGUCAGCGGAAUAUGUCAUGUAGCGGUGAAAUGCUUAGAUAUGACAUAGAACACCAAUUGCGAAGGCAGCUGGCUACACGAAUAUUGACACUGAUGCACGAAAGCGUGGGGAUCAAACAGG